This 137-nucleotide ribosomal RNA is filed under the name uncultured bacterium. Its description in RNAcentral is "partial 16S ribosomal RNA". It matches the Rfam family "Bacterial small subunit ribosomal RNA", at positions 355 to 509 of the family's 1533-position model. The record is from RNAcentral.
UGGGGAAUAUUGCACAAUGGGGGGAACCCUGAUGCAGCGACGCCGCGUGAGUGAAGAAGUAUUUCGGUACGUAAAGCUCUAUCAGCAGGAAAGAAAAUGACGGUACCUGACUAAGAAGCCCCGGCUAACUACGUGCC